GACGAACGCUGGCGGCGUGCUUAACACAUGCAAGUCGAACGAUGAAGCCGGAGCUUGCUCUGGUGAAUUAGUGGCGAACGGGUGAGUAACACGUGAGUAACCUGCCCUUGACUCUGGGAUAACUGCGGGAAACUGUAGCUAAUACCGGAUACGACCCUCGGAGGCAUCUCCUGGGGGUGGAAAGAAUUUCGGUCAAGGAUGGACUCGCGGCCUAUCAGCUAGUUGGUGAGGUAAAGGCUCACCAAGGCGACGACGGGUAGCCGGCCUGAGAGGGUGACCGGCCACACUGGGACUGAGACACGGCCCAGACUCCUACGGGAGACAGCAGUGGGGAAUAUUGCACAAUGGGCGCAAGCCUGAUGCAGCAACGCCGCGUGAGGGAUGACGGCCUUCGGGUUGUAAACCUCUUUUAGCAGGGAAGAAGCGAAAGUGACGGUACCUGCAGAAAAAGCACCGGCUAACUACGUGCCAGCAGCCGCAGUAA
This 484-nucleotide ribosomal RNA is filed under the name uncultured bacterium. RNAcentral's name for it is "partial 16S ribosomal RNA". It matches the Rfam family "Bacterial small subunit ribosomal RNA", at positions 28 to 523 of the family's 1533-position model. The record is from RNAcentral.